This 374-nucleotide RNase MRP RNA is filed under the name Aspergillus wentii DTO 134E9. RNAcentral's name for it is "RNase MRP". It matches the Rfam family "RNase MRP". Rfam says of the family: RNase MRP is an enzymatically active ribonucleoprotein with two distinct roles in eukaryotes. In mitochondria it plays a direct role in the initiation of mitochondrial DNA replication. In the nucleus it is involved in precursor rRNA processing, where it cleaves the internal transcribed spacer 1 between 18S and 5.8S rRNAs. Lineage: Eukaryota; Fungi; Ascomycota; Eurotiomycetes; Eurotiales; Aspergillaceae. The record is from Rfam by way of RNAcentral.
UCCUCGCUCAAAGAAUCGCAUUCAAAGCUUACGCACAGGAAAUCCUUCGGGAUUCUCCUCUUCUUUCCAUGAAAGAAAACAGCUUUGGGAGAAAGUCCCCGGACACCCUGACCUAAUAUACCUGGUCACGCAAUGCGGAAACGCGCCGCCAUAAAAGCAAUUUGAUAGCGGCUUAUUUGCCCUAUUCCCUACCGAUGCUCUGUCUAUAUCCGACGCCUUUCACCGGGUGGAAAUAAUGGCGGUAUAGCUGGGUGUUGGAGAGGGGUUGUUUCAUUGGGUUGCCUUUCGUCGUGUUUGGAUAGUCAUGCGAUUGCCUUGUUUUUCGCCUUCGGGGAAAGAUGGGUAACUCAAUGGGGCUCAUUCUUGAGGCGAGG